GCUGGGCGUAGUGGCGGGUGCCUGUAAUCCCAGCUACUCAGGAGGCUGAGGCAGAAGAAUUGCUUGAACCCGGGAGGCAGAGGUUGCAGUGAGCCGAGAUUGUGCCACUGCACUGUAGCCCGGGCGACAAAGUAAGACUCUGUCUCAA
Molecule: non-coding RNA, 148 nt
Filed under: Pan troglodytes (chimpanzee)
Lineage: Eukaryota; Metazoa; Chordata; Mammalia; Primates; Hominidae
Source: Rfam by way of RNAcentral